RNAcentral lists this transfer RNA (77 nucleotides) under Verrucomicrobiota bacterium. RNAcentral's name for it is "Verrucomicrobia bacterium tRNA-Met". It matches the Rfam family "tRNA". From Rfam's summary of the family: Transfer RNA (tRNA) molecules are approximately 80 nucleotides in length. Their secondary structure includes four short double-helical elements and three loops (D, anti-codon, and T loops). Lineage: Bacteria; Pseudomonadati; Verrucomicrobiota. The record is from RNAcentral.
GGCAGAGUAGCUCAGUUGGUUAGAGCGGCGGCUUCAUAAGUCGCAAGUCGCUGGUUCAAGUCCAGCCUCUGCUACCA